Rosa chinensis is the source of this 248-nucleotide long non-coding RNA. RefSeq lists it as uncharacterized. The transcript has 4 exons. Lineage: Eukaryota; Viridiplantae; Streptophyta; Magnoliopsida; Rosales; Rosaceae. The record is from RefSeq and is a predicted model, not a curated record.
GGAUUAUCACAUAGAUGCUGAUUAUCAAGUGGGUGAUGGCUUCUCUUUCAGUGGAGGUGGAAUGGGAAAAGAACAUCGAUCCUGAUAACAUGACAUAUGAGGUUCAAUUAUAAAUCUUGAUACUUGUUGGUGCAUAACAAUAGGUUAGCCCAGACCUCUAUGGUGACAGCAACACAACUGUUUUUAUCGAUCUCAAAGGUAAUCACAAAAGGUUGUAAAGCAACUCAAAUAAGAAGCUCGGACACAAG